CGAACUGUCCUAACGUUGUUCGGAAUCACUGGGCUUAAAGGGCGCGUAGGCGGUCCGACAAGUCAGGGGUGAAAUCCUGCAGCUUAACUGCAGAAGUGCCUUUGAUACUGUCGGUCUUGAGGGAGAUAGGGGUGUGCGGAACUUCCAGUGGAGCGGUGAAAUGCGUUGAUAUUGGAAGGAACGCCGGAGGCGAAAGCGGCGCACUGGAUCUCUUCUGACGCUGAGGCGCGAAAGCUAGGGGAGCAAACGGGAUUAGAUACCCCGGUAGUCCUAGCCCUAAACGAUGAGUACUAGAUUGUAGACUUUCAUGGGUUUACAGUCGAAGCAAAAGUGUUAAGUACUCCGCCUGGGGAGUAUGGUCGCAAGGCUG
Molecule: ribosomal RNA, 370 nt
Filed under: uncultured organism
Description: bacterial SSU rRNA
Rfam family: Bacterial small subunit ribosomal RNA
Source: RNAcentral